UCGAGGGCCCGAUACUCAGACCCUCCGCCUGGGGACUACGAGCAUUAGCUUAAAACCCAAAGGACUUGGCGGUGCUUUACCCCCCACUAGAGGAGCCUGUUCUAGAACUGAUAACCCCCGUUGAACCUCACCAUCCCUCGUUUUAACCCGCCUAUAUACCGCCGUCGUCAGCUUACCCUGUGAAGGUCAAAUAGUAAGCAAAAAUGGCUAAGCCAAAAACGUCAGGUCGAGGUGUAGUGAAUGGGAUGGGAAGAAAUGGGCUACAUUCUCUGUUACAGAGAAUACGAAUGGCAGCCUGAAAACCCUGCCUGAAGGUGGAUUUAGCA
This 326-nucleotide ribosomal RNA is filed under the name Merluccius gayi (Southern Pacific hake). RNAcentral's name for it is "partial 12S ribosomal RNA". It matches the Rfam family "Bacterial small subunit ribosomal RNA", at positions 839 to 1337 of the family's 1533-position model. Lineage: Eukaryota; Metazoa; Chordata; Actinopteri; Gadiformes; Merlucciidae. The record is from RNAcentral.